GCACCUGCAUCUUUCCUGUGCCUUGCUGUGCAGUGCAAGCUGGGGCUACAGCACAGCAAUGGAAGUCCAGGUGACUUGUUUUCCACUGGUUUGGAACUCAUCUCAACACCUCUGCAACACUU
Colius striatus (speckled mousebird) is the source of this 122-nucleotide non-coding RNA. NCBI's taxonomy places the organism in Eukaryota, Metazoa, Chordata, Aves, Coliiformes, Coliidae. The record is from Rfam.